This 980-nucleotide long non-coding RNA is filed under the name Equus caballus (horse). Its description in RNAcentral is "lncRNA (ENSECAG00000050272.1)". The record is from RNAcentral. Lineage: Eukaryota; Metazoa; Chordata; Mammalia; Perissodactyla; Equidae.
AGAGAGAGUAAUUUUUCCAUGGGCAGAGAAAGGAAGUUCUGUGUGCAUUUAUGCACUCAUAUGUAUGAGUUGGAGAAGGCUUCAUAGAAGAGAAGAUAUUUUAGCUGUGGAGAGGAGUUAAACUCACAGAACAGUUGGUUAAGGUCCCAGAGGAAUACAAGAGCUGGAAAAGGUGGGACGCCUACCACAGCAUGGCUUUUGCCAAGCGGUGCCAUGUCUGCACCCGGGAUCAGAAUCGGCAAACCCCAGGCCGCCAAGAAGCAGAACGUGGGCACUUAACUGCUGCCGGCCCUCAAUUUUGCCAUGUAUUUCCAGGGCACUGAACUGGGCCACACAAGAAAACCUACAAGAAGUAGAAGAUACAGUUGUUCCUGGUUUCCUGGAGUUUACAUCCAAGAGUAAAGGCAAAAGACUGUGAGUUUUCCUGGGCAUGAAGAAGAAGCUGAUCACCAACUCUCCUAGAGAACUUCUCUCUCCUUCUCUGUGAGGUGCCAAGGAGAAAACCUGGAAGCCUCAGAGCACUCUGCCCAGUAGCAGCCAGGCCUGGGGCAUCUCUGCCUGGCCUAGACUGCACACCACUGGAUUCAACAUGAAAGGAUGCCCUGCCCUGAUUUUCAAAGUCCAACACCACCAGCACUCCUUCUCAUGUGGGAGCAGGCAAAACUGCAACAGAGACCUCUGCCUUCCCACCCCAGGGAAGACAGACCCCACAUCACAGAGCUCAGCCCCUCUGCCAGGAACCCAGGGAGGAUGGUCAUCAUGCUUCACCAACUGCCAUUGAUGUCCAGAAAGAGAGUGAAACUAAUGGUUUGAACCACACCUAUCCAUCAGAAUAGCUCAAAGAAGCAUUUCCAGGUAUAUUUGGCAAGCCCGACCCUAGAGACUCUGGUUUUGCGUGCCAAGGCAAGCAGACACUUGUGUGCAGGUAAAAGCUCCCUAUGUAACUCUAACAUAGACUCCUAAGGAAGAAUCACUACACC